Molecule: long non-coding RNA, 325 nt
Filed under: Ananas comosus (pineapple)
Lineage: Eukaryota; Viridiplantae; Streptophyta; Magnoliopsida; Poales; Bromeliaceae
Description: long non-coding RNA (ACOM_LNC024089)
Source: RNAcentral
AUAUUUAAUAAUUUGUAUAUUAAAGUUACAAUUUAAUUUAAUAAAUCAAAUAUAUUUUUUUAGAGAUAAUUAUUGUUGGCCUAAAUGGGUCAGUAUCCUGCCCUAUGGCGAGAGUUCAGAUUGGGCCGAAUCAUAUUCGAAGUGGCGUGAAGCUGAUUGGGCCGAGUAACAAUCGAAACUCGUGGGUGCUAUUUAUAUAUGUACUUUAAGUGAAUUAGUUGUAUAUUUCUAAUAACUCAAGCUUUUGAGAUUAAUGAUUAGUACAAACGAUCCGACAAGUAGUAUUAAAGAUAACUAUUAUUUUUUAGAGAUAACUAUUACUAAG